RNAcentral lists this ribosomal RNA (486 nucleotides) under uncultured bacterium. RNAcentral describes it as "partial 16S ribosomal RNA". It matches the Rfam family "Bacterial small subunit ribosomal RNA", at positions 30 to 507 of the family's 1533-position model. The record is from RNAcentral.
AUUGAACGCUGGCGGCAUGCCUUACACAUGCAAGUCGAACGGCAGCACGGGUGCUUGCCCCUGGUGGCGAGUGGCGAACGGGUGAGUAAUACAUCGGAACAUGUCCUGUAGUGGGGGAUAGCCCGGCGAAAGCCGGAUUAAUACCGCAUACGAGCUACGGGUGAAACCGGGGGACCUUCGGGCUUCGCGCUAUAGGGUCGGCCGAUUGCUGAUUAGCUAGUUGGUGGGGUAAAGGCCUACCAAGGCGACGAUCAGUAGCUGGUUUGAGAGGACGACCAGCCACACUGGGACUGAAACACGGCCCAGACUCCUACGGGAGGCAGCAGUGGGGAAUUUUGGACAAUGGGCGAAAGCCUGAUCCAGCAAUGCCGCGUGUGUGAAGAAGGCCUUCGGGUUGUACAGCACUUUUGUCCGGAAAGAAAUCCUUGGCCCUAAUACGGUCGGGGGAUGACGGUACCGGAAGAAUAAGCACCGGCUAACUACGUG